GAUUAACGCUGGCGGCGUGCAUAACACAUGCAAGUCGAACGAUGAAACUCAUUAGAUUUCUUCGGAAUGAAAAUGAAUGGAUUAGUGGCGAACGGGUGAGUAACGCGUGAGUAACCUGCCUUACACAAGGGGAUAGCCUCUGGAAACGGAGAAUAAUACCCUAUGAAACCAGACAAUCGCAUGAUAAUCUGGUCAAAAUGUUUAGUGGUGUAAGAUGGACUUGCGUCUGAUUAGCUAGUUGGUGAGAUAAAAGCUCACCAAGGCAACGAUCAGUAGCCGGCUUGAGAGAGUGUACGGCAACAUUGGGACUGAGACACGGCCCAGACUCCUACGGGAGGCAGCAGUGGGGAAUUUUGCACAAUGGGGGAAACCCUGAUGCAGCGACGCCGCGUGAUUUAGAAGGCCUUCGGGUUGUAAAAAUCUUUUGUAUAGGAAGAAAAUGACAGUACUAUACGAAUAAGGUCCGGCUAAUUACGUG
RNAcentral lists this ribosomal RNA (478 nucleotides) under uncultured bacterium. RNAcentral's name for it is "partial 16S ribosomal RNA". It matches the Rfam family "Bacterial small subunit ribosomal RNA", at positions 28 to 507 of the family's 1533-position model. The record is from RNAcentral.